RNAcentral lists this long non-coding RNA (364 nucleotides) under Citrus x clementina. RNAcentral describes it as "Citrus clementina (C. clementina) long non-coding RNA (CCLE_LNC001095)". Lineage: Eukaryota; Viridiplantae; Streptophyta; Magnoliopsida; Sapindales; Rutaceae. The record is from RNAcentral.
AAGUACUUACUCUAUUUACUUUAAGUGUGAUACGUAAAUACCAAAAUUAGUACAAUAAAAGCUACUUUCUUUCCCUAUUAGUCAUCAAUCAAAAUUCCGAAAUAAGAAAAUUAUUAAGUCACUAUAACACCAGUUCGUGUGUUGCUUGUGAAAUGCAACUUUGAUAAGUAAAAUAUUGAAGAUGAAAGAAAUGUCUGAUGCGAAGUGCACCUACUUAUCCAAACUCGGCUGAGUCAUUGACUACCCUGUUGUAUAUAUCAAGUUCCCUAUCCCUCUUCCAUUAUUAAUUAUUAUUAUUAUUAUUUGGGAAAAUUACGUUACACUUUUAUUAAUAUUGUAAUUAGAAAUUUAGGUCCAGUUUGGU